Poecilia reticulata (guppy) is the source of this 208-nucleotide non-coding RNA. NCBI's taxonomy places the organism in Eukaryota, Metazoa, Chordata, Actinopteri, Cyprinodontiformes, Poeciliidae. The record is from RefSeq and is a predicted model, not a curated record.
CCUGGACUCCUCAGGCGGAUGUCAAUCACCUUGUCCAGAACCUGCAAUACAUACCAGCAAGGUCCAGCCUCUGCAUUUUUUAUAACUUCUUGAGAUGACAUCUGAAACUACUCAGGUUGCAGUGGAACAGCUUAGACUAAAACACAGUCAGUGUGUGCCAGAACACUGUGGUAGACUGGUCAAGAACAAUAAAAUCAACAUUUUCAAG